This 425-nucleotide ribosomal RNA is filed under the name uncultured bacterium. Its description in RNAcentral is "partial 16S ribosomal RNA". It matches the Rfam family "Bacterial small subunit ribosomal RNA", at positions 354 to 796 of the family's 1533-position model. The record is from RNAcentral.
GUGGGGAAUAUUGGGCAAUGGGGGAAACCCUGACCCAGCAACGCGGCGUGAAGGAAGAAGGUUUUCGGAUCGUAAACUUCUAUCCUUGGUGAAGAUAAUGACGGUAGCCAAGAAGGAAGCCCCGGCUAACUACGUGCCAGCAGCCGCGGUAAUACGUAGGGGGCAAGCGUUGUCCGGAAUGAUUGGGCGUAAAGGGCGCGUAGGCGGCCUGGUAAGUCUGGAGUGAAAGUCCUGCUUUUAAGGUGGGAAUUGCUGUGGAUACUGUCGGGCUUGAGUGCAGGAGAGGUAAGCGGAAUUCCCGGUGUAGCGGUGAAAUGCGUAGAGAUCGGGAGGAACACCAGUGGCGAAGGCGACUUACUGGACUGUAACUGACGCUGAGGCGCGAAAGUGUGGGGAGCAAACAGGAUUAGAUACCCUAGUAGUCC